UCUCUAUUACACCCACACAACCUCACUUCUCUCAUUUUUCUCUCUCUAGAGCUCUUUCCAACCAAGGGACUUGGAGAGAUUUAGCUUGGCAAGAGGCUUUGGAGCAAAGAGUAAGCCUAGUGCAGGGAGAAGCUUGAGGAGAAGAGAAUCCUAAGGGUAAAUCGAUGCAAGAAACAACUCAAAUUGGGAUUUCGAUCAGCCUACAGUGUUCGAGUGAGAGAAAUUGUUGAUUAUCAUUCGUUAGCCUUCGGUCGAGCUAAAUCAGCGAAGACAAAUUGCGAGGCUUGGUUUUCCCAAUUCUAGACGUCGAUACGAGAUGUGAAAUAUGUGUGCAAGCUUGUCACGCCCCGAGACCGAUACCAAUUUGGGCCGGCCCGAGCACGUCAAACAGACACCGAACGGACAGAGUUUCCCCUAUCCGCCCAAGGCUCAUCAC
Molecule: long non-coding RNA, 436 nt
Organism: Ananas comosus (pineapple)
Lineage: Eukaryota; Viridiplantae; Streptophyta; Magnoliopsida; Poales; Bromeliaceae
Exons: 3
Source: RefSeq, a predicted model, not a curated record